CAAUGCCACAAAGGCCGCAGCAUCCUCCGCACAGCUCACAUGCUGCACCCCUACUUCCACUUCUGGUUUGCUGCAUUUUCCCUCUCCUCCCACUGUAGCCGACAUCACGAAGCCUCGAUACAGCAGCUGCGCCCAUGAUCCGGAUCCGGGUUGUGACCCGAAGUCCGACCCGGAUCCGGAUCCUGAACCGAGGUCGAAGCUGCUGUUGGGGCUAGUCAACGGGGUAGCCCCGUUGAUGAUGUCUAUACCAAUUUUGCCACCCUUUUUGGUGCUGAUUGUAGAGUUGACUAGUGUGAUGGCGUCUGUGGCUCCAUCAGGGAUGAUCUCGAAGCGGUAGCCG
This 340-nucleotide long non-coding RNA is filed under the name Capsicum annuum. RNAcentral's name for it is "long non-coding RNA (CANN_LNC013208)". Lineage: Eukaryota; Viridiplantae; Streptophyta; Magnoliopsida; Solanales; Solanaceae. The record is from RNAcentral.